GUAAAUAUAGUUUAAUAAAAACAUUAGAUUGUGAAUCUAAUAAUAGAAGUGUAAGCCUUCCUAUUUACC
RNAcentral lists this transfer RNA (69 nucleotides) under Catopuma temminckii (Asiatic golden cat). RNAcentral describes it as "tRNA-His". It matches the Rfam family "tRNA". From Rfam's summary of the family: Transfer RNA (tRNA) molecules are approximately 80 nucleotides in length. The record is from RNAcentral. Lineage: Eukaryota; Metazoa; Chordata; Mammalia; Carnivora; Felidae.